UCGAUUACCUCAUGUGAAAACAAAAAGCACAAGGCAGGGGGUCCUUGGCAGCAGGAGGACCCGCUGUUGGUGGUUCGCAGUGAGGGGACCUCAACCAGAAUCCACAAUCUGUGUCAAUUUGUAGGCGGAGCGGGAGUGAGUGAGUGUGAGGCGGCGUCGCACCAGGCCACGUUUACACAUCCGCUGGGCUCCGCUCUCUCUCUUGCGUUGGCACGGCGACGUGCGAGCAGCUGGUGUCGAACAAACCGCUCAUCCGUCGCGGGACAGACUGGAAUCGGUGCUGUCUUCCAGUGAGACGCAUCUGUUCGUAGAGAGGAGGAACAACUCUGUCUCCGAUGUCUUCAUGUCUUCCUGACAGGACGGAACAUCAAUACGACGCUGAUGGAGACGGGCACAGAGGACAUAACCAGGUGAGCGUCUUCUGUGGUGUACAACAACAACAUGCUGAACGCCAGUAUGGAUCCACGCACGCCUGAGACAUUAAACGACAGCAG
Molecule: long non-coding RNA, 494 nt
Organism: Brienomyrus brachyistius
Lineage: Eukaryota; Metazoa; Chordata; Actinopteri; Osteoglossiformes; Mormyridae
Exons: 3
Source: RefSeq, a predicted model, not a curated record